RNAcentral lists this ribosomal RNA (1221 nucleotides) under Flavobacterium sp. ICM 518. Its description in RNAcentral is "bacterial SSU rRNA". It matches the Rfam family "Bacterial small subunit ribosomal RNA", at positions 91 to 1319 of the family's 1533-position model. Lineage: Bacteria; Pseudomonadati; Bacteroidota; Flavobacteriia; Flavobacteriales; Flavobacteriaceae. The record is from RNAcentral.
GAGACCGGCGCACGGGUGCGUAACGCGUAUGCAAUCUACCUUUUACAGAGGGAUAGCCCAGAGAAAUUUGGAUUAAUACCUCAUAGCAUAGCAGCUUCGCAUGAAGCCACUAUUAAAGUCACAACGGUAAAAGAUGAGCAUGCGUCCCAUUAGCUAGUUGGUAAGGUAACGGCUUACCAAGGCUACGAUGGGUAGGGGUCCUGAGAGGGAGAUCCCCCACACUGGUACUGAGACACGGACCAGACUCCUACGGGAGGCAGCAGUGAGGAAUAUUGGACAAUGGGCGCAAGCCUGAUCCAGCCAUGCCGCGUGCAGGAUGACGGUCCUAUGGAUUGUAAACUGCUUUUGUACAGGAAGAAACACUGGUUCGUGAACCAGCUUGACGGUACUGUAAGAAUAAGGAUCGGCUAACUCCGUGCCAGCAGCCGCGGUAAUACGGAGGAUCCAAGCGUUAUCCGGAAUCAUUGGGUUUAAAGGGUCCGUAGGCGGUUUAGUAAGUCAGUGGUGAAAGCCCAUCGCUCAACGGUGGAACGGCCAUUGAUACUGCUAAACUUGAAUUAUUAGGAAGUAACUAGAAUAUGUAGUGUAGCGGUGAAAUGCUUAGAGAUUACAUGGAAUACCAAUUGCGAAGGCAGGUUACUACUAAUGGAUUGACGCUGAUGGACGAAAGCGUGGGUAGCGAACAGGAUUAGAUACCCUGGUAGUCCACGCCGUAAACGAUGGAUACUAGCUGUUGGAAGCAAUUUCAGUGGCUAAGCGAAAGUGAUAAGUAUCCCACCUGGGGAGUACGUUCGCAAGAAUGAAACUCAAAGGAAUUGACGGGGGCCCGCACAAGCGGUGGAGCAUGUGGUUUAAUUCGAUGAUACGCGAGGAACCUUACCAAGGCUUAAAUGUAGAUUGACCGGUUUGGAAACAGAUCUUUCGCAAGACAAUUUACAAGGUGCUGCAUGGUUGUCGUCAGCUCGUGCCGUGAGGUGUCAGGUUAAGUCCUAUAACGAGCGCAACCCCUGUUGUUAGUUGCCAGCGAGUCAAGUCGGGAACUCUAACAAGACUGCCAGUGCAAACUGUGAGGAAGGUGGGGAUGACGUCAAAUCAUCACGGCCCUUACGCCUUGGGCUACACACGUGCUACAAUGGCCGGUACAGAGAGCAGCCACUGGGCGACCAGGAGCGAAUCUAUAAAACCGGUCACAGUUCGGAUCGGAGUCUGCAACUCGACUCC